AGUGAACGCUGGCGGCAGGCCUAACACAUGCAAGUCGAACGGCAGCACAAGAAAGCUUGCUCUCUGGGUGGCGAGUGGCGGACGGGUGAGGAAUGCAUCGGAAUCUGCCCAUUUGUGGGGGAUAACCUCGGGAAACCGGGACUAAUACCGCAUACGACCUACGGGUGAAAGCAGGGGAUCUUCGGACCUUGCGCAGAUGGAUGAGCCGAUGCCGGAUUAGCUAGUUGGAGGGGUAAAGGCCCACCAAGGCGACGAUCCGUAGCUGGUCUGAGAGGAUGAUCAGCCACACUGGGACUGAGACACGGCCCAGACUCCUACGGGAGGCAGCAGUGGGGAAUAUUGGACAAUGGGCGCAAGCCUGAUCCAGCCAUGCCGCGUGUGUGAAGAAGGCCUUCGGGUUGUAAAGCACUUUUGUUGGGAAAGAAAAGCAGCCGGUUAAUACCCGGUUGUCAUGACGGUACCCAAAGAAUAAGCACCGGCUAACUUCGUG
RNAcentral lists this ribosomal RNA (490 nucleotides) under uncultured bacterium. RNAcentral describes it as "partial 16S ribosomal RNA". It matches the Rfam family "Bacterial small subunit ribosomal RNA", at positions 29 to 507 of the family's 1533-position model. The record is from RNAcentral.